RNAcentral lists this transfer RNA (82 nucleotides) under Ignavibacteriota bacterium. RNAcentral describes it as "Ignavibacteriae bacterium (activated sludge metagenome) tRNA-Leu". It matches the Rfam family "tRNA". From Rfam's summary of the family: Transfer RNA (tRNA) molecules are approximately 80 nucleotides in length. Their secondary structure includes four short double-helical elements and three loops (D, anti-codon, and T loops). The record is from RNAcentral. RNAcentral also lists the same sequence under 1 other name. Lineage: Bacteria; Pseudomonadati; Ignavibacteriota.
GCGGAAGUGGUGAAAUUGGUAGACACGCCAUCUUGAGGGGGUGGUGCCGAUAGGUGUAGGGGUUCAAAUCCCCUCUUCCGCA